GGCGAUGGGAAAUUGAGCUGAGGACACAAGUGAGGACAGACCCGCAAGAAAUUUUGAAUAUGCAGAGAUUGGGCCAAAUCGACUGAAUGUGACGAGCUGUGCUGGAGCCGCGUACAGUUCAGUAAAGAACACAGGGACACAUGAUGAUGAUUCCAAAAUGGAUGGUGGUUUGGUGUACUCGAUCGUCACUAUCUCAAAGCCAGGAAACACUGCUCACUGUGAUGUUGCAUCAGGAGGGAAACACGCUGACCAAGCAGACCAGCAACCAUCCUGCAUCACAUAUGCCACCCUGAGGCACACAGAUAGGCAAGGGGAUGAGGAACCAGGUCAAGAUGAAGAGGGGAACGUUUACGCCAACCUUCCGCGGACAUUUUGAGACAGCACAGAAGAAUCCCUUUGAAGCUUCAAAAAUUGAUAGAUAGCAAUUGUCCCUUCCAGCAAAUAAGGGGGAGAAGGAAGAGAGGACAGAGGAGUGGCAAGUUUCUGCAGCUGACAAAUCGCUAAGCUUUGUUUCCAUUCACUCAGCCAGACAUCAGUUCCAAAGGUGAACUUGCCUUGAGAAACCAUCUGAAUAACCGUCUCUCAUAUAACUCUAAGCGGGCCAAUUUCUCCCGCUGUCACAUGAUCUGACCCUUGAUGGCAGGGAUUUGAGAUUUUUGCGCUGUGCAUUCCUAACUUGAGUAUCCAUUUGAUCUCCUGGUCAGUGGGUGAGGGCAGAUGAGCCAAUGAAUUGAAUCUACUCCUCAUUUAUUUUUUAAUUGUGAUGAGCUAGAAAUAAUUCAAGGCGGGAUUGUUCUCCAGCCCUAUCUACAUUGCUCUCUAACUU
Long non-coding RNA from Rhincodon typus (whale shark), 826 nucleotides. RefSeq lists it as uncharacterized. The record is from RefSeq and is a predicted model, not a curated record. NCBI's taxonomy places the organism in Eukaryota, Metazoa, Chordata, Chondrichthyes, Orectolobiformes, Rhincodontidae. The transcript has 5 exons.